Long non-coding RNA from Lacerta agilis (Sand lizard), 334 nucleotides. RefSeq lists it as uncharacterized. The record is from RefSeq and is a predicted model, not a curated record. NCBI's taxonomy places the organism in Eukaryota, Metazoa, Chordata, Lepidosauria, Squamata, Lacertidae. The transcript has 3 exons.
UGGAUUAUUGCAAAAGAUCAAUCAAUCACUCCACCCCAAACGGAAUUAGCAGCCACCUACCAUUUCUGGGAAGGAAAGGAGAAGCUGUGUACAUAAAGGCAGCUGAGAUUCUUAGACAACUGGGACAUCACCAGGAGAAGGCAUCCAAGACAGAAGAAUAAACACCGCCACCUUGUAAAGGUGAACCCAGCAAGCUGCCAAGAUGUGCAACUUUAAAUUUCUUACCAACAUACUGAAAUGUAUGUUUAAGACGAUACAGUGGAUUUGUAACAAGGCCAAAGAAUGCAGGAGGCGACACAAGCCAGCAAUUGAAAAACCACCCAAGCCAGAAACU